UGAGAAUUCCACCAAGGUGCAAGCUCACUG
Molecule: non-coding RNA, 30 nt
Filed under: Rattus norvegicus (Norway rat)
Lineage: Eukaryota; Metazoa; Chordata; Mammalia; Rodentia; Muridae
Source: RNAcentral